CCAUGGUUAGCAGGUUGUUAACCUUUGGAGUAUUUACAAAACGAUAUAGGUGUGCUUAGUAACAAAUAUACAUUUUAAGUGUACAUGAAAGGGAUUUACCUUACUUCAAAUAAUAAGUUGUUUGAUCAACACAUAUUACUACUAUAACUUAGACCGUCUGCCUAAUUUAAAUAAAAGGGGUUUAAACUGUUGGCGGUCCACAAGUAGCAUUAUAC
Pelobates cultripes (western spadefoot toad) is the source of this 215-nucleotide non-coding RNA. The record is from the annotation of a GenBank genome assembly. Lineage: Eukaryota; Metazoa; Chordata; Amphibia; Anura; Pelobatidae.